GGGUGGAGGAAGGGCGAGCGGCGUGGUAGCAGCGAGGCGGACGUUGGUGGACGUCGGGAGCGAGCUGAAGCAGCUGCAAGACUUGCAGUGAGCCAGCGGGGGCGCCUCCACCGAGAUGUCGUUGCUCAGAAGAGUCUCCUGACUGACGACGAUUUGGGAGGAGUUCAUGUCGGAGAUGACUGAGCACAACACCUCCGCCAAAGGAAUGAAUUGGGACUGGGGGACGGGGGACAUCUGCAACGGGGACAAGUCGCCUGGAACACAUCACGACAGAUUGUGAGAUGGUGCAACUACGCCCAAACCGCAUCAGGAUUCAAAACAAUUGUCCUCUAACCACUUCUUAAGCCCGGAUCACGGUGGUCUAUUUAUGUGAGUUACAUGAACCGUGAAAGUCUGGCCGGCUGCGGACAUUCCAGCAGCGCCGGGACGAACCGCAGAAUUCCACCACUCCCACAACACUGACCGCAGGUCGCAUGCUGGGUGGAUCGCAUAUCUCGCCCCCAAGACUCCAAUGUCAUGGAGGUGCCCUUGGAAAAACAUGACCCCCCCUUCCCCUAAAGAACUUCUUGACAUAUUUGGUCUUGUAAUUUCAAACUGGUGCCAUGCAAGUUUGACCACAUCAAAAAUGACUCACGGGGCAGACGGCAUUCACAUGGGACGUGUCUGGAAAUGUAAAAAAGGAAAUCUGAUAAAAAAAAAAAGUGUUUAAAGAUUAGUCAUGCUUUAAAACAAACCAGAUCCCGAGUGAAUGAUUAGACAGACAAAUCCGUUACAGGUUUGACUAGUUAAUCAAUCAUAAAGGUGUUCUGGUGGAUUCAUUGACAUCGAAAAAUAUUAGCGAAACCAAAAGUAGGAGACAGAAAAUAAAAUGUUAAACCAAAUAAUCUGGAAUAUAAAAAAAUGGAAAACUUUGAUUUCAUGACAGCGCUGUAGAAAACGAUACUUGAAGGACUGUGUUUCCACUUGAAGUUCAAACAUAUGCCACAAGACCCCCAAACACAGCAAAGCGCCCGCUUGAUGUAAACUAAACAUUUACAGCCGUCGCAUUUGAGCCACUUAGACACAAGACGGGGAAAAUAAACAACACGUCGCGUACUAUCUGUCACACAAGCCAAUGAAUAGUGUCUUGUUUUUGUGUGUGUGGGGGGGGGUUGCAGUGACACAUUUUUAAAGUCAAUAAAGCAGAAAACCGCA
Molecule: long non-coding RNA, 1194 nt
Organism: Syngnathus typhle (broad-nosed pipefish)
Lineage: Eukaryota; Metazoa; Chordata; Actinopteri; Syngnathiformes; Syngnathidae
Exons: 2
Source: RefSeq, a predicted model, not a curated record